Molecule: ribosomal RNA, 460 nt
Filed under: uncultured bacterium
Lineage: Bacteria
Description: partial 16S ribosomal RNA
Rfam family: Bacterial small subunit ribosomal RNA
Source: RNAcentral
CCUACGGGUGGCAGCAGUGAGGAAUAUUGGUCAAUGGACGAGAGUCUGAACCAGCCAAGUAGCGUGAAGGAUGACUGCCCUAUGGGUUGUAAACUUCUUUUAUAUGGGACUAAAAUGUUCCACGUGUGGGAUUUUGUAUGUACCAUAUGAAUAAGGAUCGGCUAACUCCGUGCCAGCAGCCGCGGUAAUACGGAGGAUCCGAGCGUUAUCCGGAUUUAUUGGGUUUAAAGGGAGCGUAGGUGGAUUGUUAAGUCAGUUGUGAAAGUUUGCGGCUCAACCGUAAAAUUGCAGUUGAAACUGGCAGUCUUGAGUACAGUAGAGGUGGGCGGAAUUCGUGGUGUAGCGGUGAAAGGCUUAGAUAUCACGAAGAACUCCGAUUGCGAAGGCAGCUCACUGGACUGCAACUGACACUGAGGCUCGAAAGUGUGGGUAUCAAACAGGAUUAGAUACCCGAGUAGUC